RNAcentral lists this transfer RNA (72 nucleotides) under Phrynosoma platyrhinos (Desert horned lizard). Its description in RNAcentral is "tRNA-OTHER". The record is from RNAcentral. Lineage: Eukaryota; Metazoa; Chordata; Lepidosauria; Squamata; Phrynosomatidae.
GCCAGCGUGCCACAGUGGUUUGAGUGCUGGACUACAACUUUGGAGACCAGGGUUCGAUUCCCAUCUCAGGCC